RNAcentral lists this long non-coding RNA (496 nucleotides) under Mytilus galloprovincialis (Mediterranean mussel). The record is from RNAcentral. Lineage: Eukaryota; Metazoa; Mollusca; Bivalvia; Mytilida; Mytilidae.
UUAUACCCCCGCUUUAAAAAGGGGGGGGGUAUACUGUUUUACCUCUGUCUGUCAGUCCGUCCGUCAGUCCGUCCGUCCAUCAGUCCGUCAGUCCAUCAGUCCGUCAGUCAGUCCGUCCCAUGAAACUUUCGUCACAUUUUUCUCAGGAACUACACAUCCACAUUUUUCUCAGGAACUACACAUCCACCCUUUCUGUAAUUUGGUAUCAACAUUUAUAUAUGUCAGCCAUACCGUGUGAUGCGUUUUCAGAUUCAUCACUUGACAACUUCCUGUUUACCGAACACUUGUCUGAUUUUACACAUGAUAGCCAAGUUGAAAAUUUUCGUCACAUUUUUCUCAGGAACUACAAUACAAGGAUUUCUGAAAUUUGGUUUCAGGAUUUAUAUAAGUCAGCUACACCGUGUGAUGCGUUUUCAGAUUCAUCACUCGACAACUUCCUGUUUACCGAACACUUGCAUAUUUUUACACUAUUAAUAUUAUCCACUUGCGGCGAGGG